Molecule: long non-coding RNA, 719 nt
Organism: Onychostoma macrolepis
Lineage: Eukaryota; Metazoa; Chordata; Actinopteri; Cypriniformes; Cyprinidae
Exons: 2
Source: RefSeq, a predicted model, not a curated record
GAUGUGGAUGAGUGUUUGUCCUCAGUGUGUGGAGUUCACAGCAGUUGCACUAACACACCUGGCAGUUUCUUCUGCAUCUGUUCUCCAGGGUUUCACAGACAUGAGAACAACACCUGUACAGACAUCAAUGAGAGUCCAGAUCCAGAUGUUUGUGGCAGAAACGCACAGGGCUUCAAUCAUUCAGGCGGCUACAGCUGCAAAUAUGCCACGAGGGUUACAGUAAUUAUAGCAACAAUUAUGGCAAACAGUAUUUAGUGCAUGUUUGCAUUACGAGUUGCACUGCUGAAGCUGCUAAUGCACUCCAAAAAAUGAUUCGGUCUAAAUUUACAUUUUGUGUAAUUCAAUUGCAUACCAAUUUUCCAUCCAUUUAGAUUACAUAGUUUUAACAUAAACAAACCAAUAAACUUAAUGUGAUUCAUAUCCAUCAGUCAUACGUGAAUGAAACAGGUAAGAUUUAUGUAAUAAUUCACAGCAAAGUCCCCACACUGCUCAGUGUUCAAGUGUUUCCACACUACAGAGUGUUCAAGUAGAAUUGAAGCAGUGUUGAGUUAAGAAGAUAAUUAUGUGAUGAUUGAUCAUUAAUGAUGAACAGUAUGGAAUUAGAUUUGUGCCAAAUAAAAUGAAUGUAAUUUUUCAAGAAACGUAUGAAAAUAUAAAUUGAAACUGAAUAAAAUGUCUUUGAAACUAAAAAAUAAAUAAAUUACAGGCAAAAUCUUUGA